CCCUUAGAUGUUCUGGGCCGCACGCGUGCUACACUGAGUGGAUCAGCGGGUCAGGUUGCGCGAAAGCGUUUCCUAAUCUUGAAAUCCGCUCGUGAUGGGGAUUGACGGCUGCAAUUUUCUGUCAUGAACGAGGAAUACCUUGUAAGCGCGAGUCAUCAUCCCGCGCUGAAUACGUCCCUGCCCUUUGUACACACCGCCCGUCGCUCCUACCGAUUGAGUGGUCCGGUGAGGCUUUGGGAUCUGAGCGGAAAGAGCGUUUCGCUCGUUCUGCCCGGAAAACUCAGUCGAACCUUAUCAUUUAGAGGAAGGAGAAGUCGUAACA
RNAcentral lists this ribosomal RNA (322 nucleotides) under uncultured eukaryote. Its description in RNAcentral is "partial 18S ribosomal RNA". It matches the Rfam family "Eukaryotic small subunit ribosomal RNA", at positions 1470 to 1796 of the family's 1831-position model. The record is from RNAcentral.